UCCUUGUUGGCUCAUACUGUAAAGAAUCUGCCUGCAAUGCAGGAGACCCGGGUUUGAUCCCUGGAUUGGGAA
Molecule: transfer RNA, 72 nt
Filed under: Ovis aries (sheep)
Lineage: Eukaryota; Metazoa; Chordata; Mammalia; Artiodactyla; Bovidae
Rfam family: tRNA
About the family: Transfer RNA (tRNA) molecules are approximately 80 nucleotides in length. Their secondary structure includes four short double-helical elements and three loops (D, anti-codon, and T loops). Further hydrogen bonds mediate the characteristic L-shaped molecular structure. tRNAs have two regions of fundamental functional importance: the anti-codon, which is responsible for specific mRNA codon recognition, and the 3' end, to which the tRNAs corresponding amino acid is attached (by aminoacyl-tRNA synthetases). tRNAs cope with the degeneracy of the genetic code in two manners: having more than one tRNA (with a specific anti-codon) for a particular amino acid; and 'wobble' base-pairing, i.e. permitting non-standard base-pairing at the 3rd anti-codon position.
Source: Rfam by way of RNAcentral